Daphnia magna is the source of this 1367-nucleotide long non-coding RNA. RefSeq lists it as uncharacterized. Lineage: Eukaryota; Metazoa; Arthropoda; Branchiopoda; Diplostraca; Daphniidae. The record is from RefSeq and is a predicted model, not a curated record. The transcript has 2 exons.
CAACAGAUAGUUUCCAUCUCUCCAUUCCAUUUUCUGACGGCGUACGUUAAAGGUUAGGAAGUCAUGUCGUCCGUCUCCAAACAUACGUUUAAAAAAAAAAAGGGUCGUGUCGUAAUAUCAGAAUUUACGGACGUGAACUGAAAACGUAGAUAAAAACCCACGUGAAAAGUAGCUCAGCUACCAGAUCUGCCACACCUAACCAACUGAAACAUUAAAUAUCAUGCUAUGCAGAUGGUUAAGUAGGUUUUCCUUGUUUUAAUUCACAUCAUAAUAGAUUAAUUAUCAAUUAAAAUAGAACGUCAAGUUUCUUGUCUUAUCAUAGGCAAACCUUAAAAUGUGAUGAACCUCAAACAGUUAAUCAUGAUUUCCUUUCAGUACCAUUAGUUGUAGGGCUCUUGCCACUUGCACAUGUACCACAUAUUAUUGAAUAAGUACCAGCAGCUUCAAACUAAGUAGUGCAAUGGUGAUUCUGGUAAAAUUUUCUCACCUUGUCAUACAAAGAUAUUCAUGAAAAAAUUUACCAUUACCAGUUUCACUGUGGAUGUUCAAAUGUGUUCCAGUAAAUUUCUUUGCAUUACUGGAACUCAAUCUAACUAAAAUAAGACCAUUGUUUGGCAGAAUUGUAUUUAAUUACGUAGAGUCUUUAAUAAGGAAACAUAUGUAGUAUUGAUAGAAUAUUUUGCUGCUAAACUAACUAGUAGCUGUAGGACUUCUGCUGCAUACUGCAUAUGCUUACAUUGAACACCUGAGGUUCUUUUUUAUUACCAUUUUCCUGCAUUUACAUAAAUGUCUAGGUUAAAUGGUAAUUAUAUUUCCUUUUUAUCAAUAUCCAACUUGAAGAAACUUACAACAAGUUGACAAAGUUGAUAAAGGAAGUAUAGAUACUUAGAUAGAUAUCAUUUUUCUUUUUCAAUUUUUUGGAAUCUUCAGCAAUACAGUGUGAUUAUUGCAAGAAUUAAAUAGGAGAUUAAAUAAUUACAUAAUCAAGGCGAUAGAUUUCGCGUUUGUUUUUAUGCCAAACUGUUGAUUUGAAAGGGUGGCGUGAUUUUCCACUCUGUAGAAAGUCGUUGUCUUUCGUUGGGUUUUCAUGGAUUGUUAAAGAUUGUGUUUGUCAGAGUCUGGCGUUGGCGUUCAUUGUUUAUGGAGAAGACAUGUUUCUCACGGCAAUCUUACAGUUUUCAAAAUUUUCAAUUGUGUUUUGCCUUAUUAACACUUCUUGACCAAUUAAAGCAUUAGGUGUUGCAUCACUUCAUUUCCAGUCUUCAUGGCGUUCCUGGCAGUUGUAGUGACUUUAUGUAAUUCUUCUUGCUGAUAAAAAAUUCAUGAGGCACAUAUCAACAGUGCAAAAUAAAUGGUAUCUGAUGAGA